CCUACGGGGGGCUGCAGUGGGGAAUAUUGGACAAUGGGCGAAAGCCUGAUCCAGCCAUGCCGCGUGUGUGAAGAAGGCCUUCGGGUUGUAAAGCACUUUCAGUGGGGAAGAAAGCCUUGGGGCUAAUACCCUCGAGGAAGGACAUCACCCACAGAAGAAGCACCGGCUAACUCCGUGCCAGCAGCCGCGGUAAUACGGAGGGUGCGAGCGUUAAUCGGAAUUACUGGGCGUAAAGCGCGCGUAGGCGGUCUGAUAAGCCGGUUGUGAAAGCCCCGGGCUCAACCUGGGAACGGCAUCCGGAACUGUCAGGCUAGAGUGCAGGAGAGGAAGGGAGAAUUCCCGGUGUAGCGGUGAAAUGCGUAGAGAUCGGGAGGAAUACCAGUGGCGAAGGCGGCCUUCUGGACUGACACUGACGCUGAGGUGCGAAAGCGUGGGUAGCAAACAGGAUUAGAUACCCGUGUAGUC
This 465-nucleotide ribosomal RNA is filed under the name Vreelandella stevensii. RNAcentral's name for it is "partial 16S ribosomal RNA". It matches the Rfam family "Bacterial small subunit ribosomal RNA", at positions 338 to 795 of the family's 1533-position model. Lineage: Bacteria; Pseudomonadati; Pseudomonadota; Gammaproteobacteria; Oceanospirillales; Halomonadaceae. The record is from RNAcentral.